UAUUACAUAUGUAUAGCACUUUAAAUAAAAUCCUGGGGAACUCCCUGCUCAUGGAAUAGAAAGCAUGUGUGAAAGCAUGACACAAGUUGAACUACACAAACUUUGUGUCAUUUUAAAGUCUCCCCCACUCUAAAAAUGCUCUUAACUUCAGUAACCUUACAGAAAACCCUUAGUCAAUGGAAGUUUUAUUGCUAGAUUGGUGGCUCAAGUUGUAAUGGUGGAUAAUGUCAGAAUGUGAAUGCUUGUGUAACAUUGGUAGACGGUUUGUGUUGGGACAAAUAAAGCAGGGGAGAUGCCAUGUGGCUUAAGAGCUGUGACUACUGGAGCAAUGAAGGACUUGGCAGACACUGUGAAAGUUGAUCAAGACUGGUAUCGAUUCUUCGAGAGGCCCGGUGCUGAUAUACUCGCAAGAAGCAGUCGUGUUUGGGGCAGCUUUCUACACCUCUGUGCCGGCAGAUUUGAAGGAUUGGAAGUUGGUUCAGUGUGGAGAGAGAUGGACACGGUGUAUUGUUUGGUAACACUUGCCCUUAUAUGUUACAGUAAACCCUUGAACAAUGAAUGCUAGAUUGGUGCCCAAAGCUCUGAUGGUGGAUAAUUUCGAAAUGUGGAUGGUUGUGUAACAUUUGUGAAAGGUAGCAGACGACAAUAAAUUUUAAAGUGGCAAUUUGCGACUUCCGGUGUGUCUGCUACUCGAUGUUGUGAUCUUAGUUACUUCCCCUGACGUUCAGUAUAUGAAAUGAGGGUCGAGUUUCAAGAUUUGAAAUUAGGAAAGAACGAAAUAUAUGAAAUGAGCACUGGCAAACUGAUCUUGGCAUGUUACAUCCUUAUCACAGAACUGGAACCUACUGAUUAAGAUGAGAAAUACGGAACAUGGUAAAUUGAGCAGGUGAAGGAAUGAAGAAAACACCACCCUCUUUACAGUCAGCAAAAUAACAAUUUUUACGGUUUGGAACUACUGCAUGCCGUUACAACAUAUGUGACAAAAACAUUUCAAUCCACCUGAUACGAUGUGGUAUCUUUCUGAAAGUGUCAUGUUCAACUUUUGAAUGGUGUUUUUUUCUGCCAAGUUUAAGAAAUUAUCAAUAUAUUACCAUGUAACUGUCUAAUAUUUAUGGCAGUUAUGAAGCAAUGAGUUUUUGCCGUAGUAAUAAAAACCAUAAAGGGUGUUAGCUCGAUUGGAUUUUCUACAUGAGCUUGAAAAAAGAACACCUUUAUUAAUGCCGUGAUGUAAACAGAAUAGAAGGGAUAUUUAAUUUGCUUUUUACAUUGUACCAACACACUGUACCGUUAAUGUGUUGUAAUGGCAAUAAUGAGUAUAACUGAAAUAAUGAAUAAUGCACUUUUUUUGCAAUGAAUAUUUCAAGUGGUGUAAUAAGUAAAAUUUGAUCAGGAAUGUACAUUUAUUAAGACUAUAUAUAUGCAAACAUACUGUACAGUUAACAUAAUAGCAAUUUUCAGAAAUGAAUGAUGACAUUUUUUACAAUGUAUAUUUCAAGAAGUGUAAUAAGUAACAUAAAGACAUACUAGGCCGUACAAUGAGAAAUAAUGAUAAUUUAACAACGUCAUGAUAGAAACAUCCAUUUGAAAUUUCUUAAGAUUUAGAUAAUAACACCAAGAAUAUCACCACUACCACCAAAAACAACAUUUAUGACACAUAAUGAAAACACCAACAAUGAAAUACAUGUAGUUCAUCAUGCAAAAACAUGCAAUGAUGAAAAAAUGAAAUAAAAUAUUAAAAUAACUGUAAUAACGACCAGAAGAACAAUAAUGAAAUAAAAGAAUGAAAUAACAAUAUGAAUGAAAUAAAAUAAAACAACAAAAUGAAAUGAAAUAAACAGUAAUGAAAUAAAAUGAAAAAAAA
Ruditapes philippinarum (Manila clam) is the source of this 1861-nucleotide long non-coding RNA. RefSeq lists it as uncharacterized. The transcript has 6 exons. The record is from RefSeq and is a predicted model, not a curated record. NCBI's taxonomy places the organism in Eukaryota, Metazoa, Mollusca, Bivalvia, Venerida, Veneridae.